Molecule: ribosomal RNA, 436 nt
Filed under: uncultured bacterium
Lineage: Bacteria
Description: bacterial SSU rRNA
Rfam family: Bacterial small subunit ribosomal RNA
Source: RNAcentral
GAACGCGAAGAACCUUACCAGGCCUUGACAUCCUAGGAACCCUGAUGAAAGUCGGGGGUGCCCGCAAGGGAACCUAGAGACAGGUGCUGCAUGGCUGUCGUCAGCUCGUGUCGUGAGAUGUUGGGUUAAGUCCCGCAACGAGCGCAACCCUUGUCCUUAGUUGCUAACGGGUAAGCCGAGCUCUCUAGGGAGACUGCCCGCGAAAGCGGGAGGAAGGCGGGGACGACGUCUAGUCCGCAUGGCCCUUACGGCCUGGGCGACACACGUGCUACAAUGCCCGGCACAGAGCGCUGCCACAUCGCAAGAUGGAGCGAAUCGCCUAAAUCCGGGCUCAGUUCGGAUUGGGGUCUGCAACCCGACCCCAUGAAGCUGGAAUCGCUAGUAAUCGCGGAUCAGCCAUGCCGCGGUGAAUACGUUCCCGGGUCUUGUACACACC